Long non-coding RNA from Homo sapiens (human), 13406 nucleotides. RefSeq lists it as uncharacterized. NCBI's taxonomy places the organism in Eukaryota, Metazoa, Chordata, Mammalia, Primates, Hominidae. The transcript is spliced from 3 exons. The record is from RefSeq and is a predicted model, not a curated record.
UUUUUUUUUUUUUUUUUUUUGAGACGAAGUCUCGCUCUUGUCCCCAGGCUGAAGUGCAAUGGCACAAUCUCGGCUCACUGCAACCUCCGCCUCCUGGGUUCAAGUGAUUCUCCUGCCUCAGCCUCCUGAGUAGCUGGGAUUACAGGUGCCUGCCACAACGCCCGGCUAAUGUUUGUAUUUUUAGUAGAGAUGGGGUUUUAUCAUGUUGGCCAGGCUGAUCUCGAACUCUUGACCUCAGGUGAUCCGCCCUCCUUGGCCUCCCAAAGUGCCAAAGUGCUGGGAUUACAGGCGUGAGCCACCACGCCCAGCUGCUCGUAUCUUUUUAAUACUGAAUAAUCUUCUAUUGUCUGGAUGUACCACAAGUUUUUAGAAAUCCAUUCCACUACUGAGGAACAUCUUGAUUACUUCCAAGUUUUGGCAGUUAUGAAUAAAGCUGUAAUAAACACUCAUAUGGUGAUUUCUGUGUGGAAAAAACGUUUUAUACCAAAGGUCAACUAGAUUUUUGUUUAUCCUCUAUAUUAUAUUCUAGGAGAUUUACAGUUUUGCACUUCACAUUUAGGUAAAUAAUUCAUUUUGAGUUAAUUUUUGUGAAAGAUAAAAGACCUGUACCUAGAUUUAUUAAUUUUUGCAUGCAGAUGGUUUCAUUGGUCUGUUUUCAUGCUGCUGAUAAAGACAUACCUGAGACUGGGAAAUUUACAGAAGAAAGAGGUUUAGUGGACUUACACUUUCACAUUGGUUGGGGAGGCCUCACAAUCAUGGCAGAAGGCAAGAAGGAGCAAGUCACAUCUUACAUGGAUGUCAGCAGGCAAAAAGAGAGCUUAUGCAGGAAAACUCCCCCUUAUGAAACCAUCAGAUUUCAUGAGACUCAUUCACUAUCAUGAGAACAGCAUGGGAAACACCCACGCCCAUGAUUCAAUGACCUCCCACUGGGUCCCUCCCACAACACAUAGAAAUUCAGAUGAAAUUUGUGGGGGGACACAGCCAAACCAUAUCAUUCCACCCCUGGCCCUUCCUAAAUCACAUGUUCUCACAUUUCAAAACCAAUCAUGCCUUCCUAACAGUCCCCUGAAAUCUUUACUCAGUUCACCAUUAACUCAAAAGUCUGCAGUCCAGAGUCUCAUCUGAGAUAAGGCAAGUCCCUUCCGCCUAUGAGCCUGCAAAAUCAAAAGCAGGUUAGUUACUUCCUAGAUACAAUGGGUGUACAGGCAUUGGGUAAAUAUAACCAUUCUAAAUUGGAAAAAUUGGCCAAAACAAAGGGGCUACAGGCCCCAUGCAAUUCCAAAAUCUGUGCAGUCAAAUCUUAAAACUCCCAAAAUGAUCUCAUUUGACUCCAUGUCUCGUAUCCAAGUCACACUGAUACAAGAGGUGGACUUACACGACCUUAGGCAGCUCUGCCCCUGUGGCUUUGCAGGUUAUAACCCCCCUCCUGGCUGCCUUCACAAGCUGGUGUUGAGUGUCUGCAGCUUUUCCAGGCACACGUGGCAAGCUGGCGGUGGAUCUACCAUUCCGGGGUCAGGAGUAUGGUGGUCCUCUUCUCACAGUUCAUACUAGGCAGUGCCCCAGAAGAGAAUCUGUAUGUGGACUCUGACCCCACAUCUCCCUUCUGCACUGCCCUAGCAGAGGUUCUCCAUGAGGGCCCUGCCCCUGCAGCAAACUUCUGCCUGGGCAUCCAGGUAUUUCCAUACAUCUUCUGAAAUAUAGGCUGAGGUUCCAUUGUCAGGCUGCAAAUUUUAAAACUUUUAUGCUGUUUCCCUUUUAAAACUGAAUGCCCUUAAUAGCAUCCAGGUCACAUCUUGAAUGCUUUGCUGCUUAGAAAUUUCUUCUGCCAGAUACCAUAAAUCAUCUCUGUUAAGCUCAAAGUUCCACAAAUCUCUAGGGCAGGGGCAAAAUGCUGCUAGUCUCUUUGCUAAAACAUAACAACAGUAUCUUUGAUUAAGUUCCCAACAAGUUCCUCAUCUCCAUCUGAGACCACCUGAGCCUGGAUUUCAUUGUCCAUAUAAUUAUCAGCAUUUUUGUCAAAUCCAUUAAUGAGUCUAGGGAGUUCCAAAUCUUCCCACAUUUUCCUGUCUUCUUCUGAGCCCUCCAAACUCUUCCAAGUUCUAUCUGUUACCCCAUUCCAAAGUUGCUUCCACAUUUUCAUGUGUCUUUUCAGCAGCACCCCACUCUACUGGUACCAAUUUACUGCAUUAGUUCGUUUUCACACUGCUGAUAAAGACAUGCCUGAGACUGGGCAAUUUACAAAAGAAAGAGGUUUAAUGGACUCUCAGUUCCACGUGGCUGGGGAGGUCUCACAAUCAUGGCAGAAGGUGAAAGGCACGUCUCACAUGGUGGCAGACAAGAGAAGAGAUCUUGUGGAGGGAAACUCCCCUUUAUAAAACCAUCAGAUCUGAUGAGACUUUUUCGCUAUCAUGAGAAUAGCACAGUAAAGACCCACUCCCGUGAUUCAGUUUCUUCCCACUGGGUCCCUUCUACAACAUGUGGGGAUUGUGGGAGUUACAAUUCAAGAUGAGAUUUGGGUGAGGACACAGCCAAACCAUAUCAACACAACUUGUUUAAACAAUUAUAUUUUCUCCAUUGUAUUGCUUCUGCCUUUUAAAAAAAGUCAUUUGACUAUAUUUAGGUGGGUAUAUUUCUGGACUCUCUGUUCUACUUCAUUGACCUAUUUGUCUAUUUUAUUUUAUUUUGUAUCAACAAUACAGUGUAUUGAUAGCUUUAAAGUAAGUCUGAAGGUGAGUAGUGUCAGUCCUCUGACUUCGAUUUCCUUCAAUAUUAUGUUGGCUAUUCUGGGUCUUUAGUCUCUCAAUGUAAACAUUAUUGGUUUGUCAAUAUCCACAAAGCAAUUAGCUAGAAUUUUGAUUGAGAUUCCAUGGAAUUUAUAAAUGAAAUUGGGAAAGACUAACAUGUUGACAGUAUUGAAGCUUCCUAUUUAUGAACUAGAAUGUCUCUCCAUUUUUUAGUUUCUAUUUAAUUUUUUUCAUGAGAGUUUCAUUGUUUUCUUCAUAUAGAUAUUUAGAUCUUAUAUAUAUUUUGUUAGAUUUUUAACUAAAUAUUUUCCAUUUCAAAUUCCAUUUGUUCAUUACUGGUAGUUAGGAAAGUGAUUGACUUUUGUAUAUUAACUUCGUAACCUGAAACUUUGCUAUAAUUGCUUACUAGUUCCAGUUUUUUGCUAUAAAAAGCUUACUAGUUUUCUUUUCUUUUUGGUCAGUUCUUUCAGAUUUUCUAAAUAGACAUUUAUGCCAUCUGAGAACAAUGACAAUUUAAUUGUUUUCUUCUCAAUCUAUAUAUCAUAUAUUUUAUUUUCUCAUUUUACUAGCUAGAGCUUCCACGACAAUGUUGAAAAGGAGUGGUAAGACGACAUUCUUAUAUUUUCCUGGUCUUAAUAGAAAAGUUUUCAGUUUUUCAUCAUUAAGUAGGAUAUUUGCUGAGGUUUUCAAUAGAUAUUCUUCAUAAAGUUGAGAAAGUUCCCCUCUAUUUCUACUUUUCUGAGAGUUUUUAUCAUAAAUGGCUGCUGGGUUGUAUCAGAUGCUUUUCCUGUAUCAACUGAUAUGAACAUGUGCCUUUUCUUCUUUAGCUUGUUGAUGUAAUAUGUUACAUUACUUUCUUUUUGAACCUUGAACCAGUCUUGCAUUGCUGGGACAAAUACCAAUUGGUUGUGGUAUAUAAUUCUUUUAAUGCAUUGCUGAAUUCAGUUUUCUAAUAUUUUGUUGAGGACUUUUUUAUCUGUCUUCAUGAGAGACAUUGUUCCAUAGUUUUCUUUUUUUGUAAUAUCUUUCUUUGGUUUUGGUAUUAGGGCAAUACUGAACUCAUAGAAUGAAUUGGGAAGUACUUCCCCUGUGUCUAUCUUCUGGAAGAGACUGUAAAAGCCAUGUGAGGACACCUAGAUGAUGUCAUUUAUGAGGAAAGGGCCUUCAUCAGACUCUGGUCCUGCUGGUGCCUUGAUCUUGGACUUCCUACUCUCCAGAACUGCACAUCAUUAAAAUAUCAACUUUGGCAGAGACGUGGAGCAAGAUGACUGCAUAGAAGUUUCUACUGAUCAUUUCCCACCGCUUCCACGGGAACACCAAGUUUGAUAUCCACACAAAGGGAGCACCUUCAAAGGAAGCAAAAAUCAGGUGAGCACUGACAGUGCCUGGUUUUGAAUUAAUAUUUCUGAAAGAGGCACUGAAGAGGGUAGGCAAAAUAGUCUUAAACUGCUAACAUUAUCCCUCUCCCAUUCCCCAGCAGCAGCUGUGUGGCAUGGAGAAUUUGUGCACUUGGGAGGGAAAGUGCAGUGAUUGUGAUGCUUUGCAUUGAACUUGGUGCUUCCCUGUCACAGUGGAAAGCAGAACCAGACUGUACUUAUCUAACGCUUUCCUACAGAGGGAAUGUGUGGACAGAGCCUAGCCAGAUGGGAAUGGUCCAUCCCAGUGGUCAGAGUUUGAGUUCCAGCAAGCCUAGCUCCUAAGUGCUGAGCUGGUCUCAGAGCCAGUGGACUUGGGGGAUAUGCAACCUACUGAGAUACCAGCAAGGGUGCUAAGGGAAUGCUUGCAUCUUCCCUUUCCCAACCCCAGGCAGCACAGUUCACAGCUGCAAAAGAGACCCCUUCCUUCUACUUGAGGAGAGGAGAGGAAAGAGAAAACUGGACUUUUUCUUGUAUCUUGAAUAAAAACUCAGCCACAGUAGAUUAGAGCACCAUAAGGCCUAUAAGCCCCAUUGCAAGCCCUAGCUCCCAGAUAACAUUUCUAGACACACCCUGGGCCAGAAGGGAACAUACUGCCUUGAAAGAAAGGAUCCAGUACAAGCAGAAUCCAUCACCUCCUGACUAAAGAGCACUUGGGACCUGAAGAAUCUCACAGCAAUACCCAGCUGUGAGACUUGAGUGAGACUCAGAGACAUGCUGGCUUCAGGAAAGAACCAGCACAUUCCCAGCUGUGGAGGCUAUGAGGAGAAACUCCUUCUAUUUGAGAAAAGCAAAGGCAAAAGCAAAGGGGACUUUGUGUUGCAUCUUAGGUACCAGCUCAGCCACAGUAGGGUAGAGCACCAAGCAGGCUCAUCAGGUCCCCAGUUACAGGCCUUGGUUCACGGCAUUUUAGGACCUACCCUGGACCGAGGGGAGACCACUACCAUGAAGAAUGAGUCCCAGGCCUGGCAGCAUUCACCACAAGCUGACUAAAGAUCCUUUGGGCCUCAACUGAACAUUGGCAGUAGGCUGUUAGUACUUCCCAUGGGCUUAUGAUGGUGGAGCCUACGGGGUGAGGCUCCUUUGCCUUUAGAAAGGGAGGGAAGAAUGGGGAGGACUCCAUUUUGUGGUUUGAGUACCAGCUCAGCUCCAGGGGAACAGAAUGCAAGGUAGAUUUUUAAAGUUUUUUCUCCAGUACCUGGCUCCUAGAUGGCAUCUCUAGACCCACCCACGACCUGGGGGAACUUGCUACCCUGAAGGGAAGAACACAAUACUGGCUGGCUUUACUACCUGCUGAUUGUAGAGACCCAGAACCUUGAACAAACAUAGGUAGUAGCCUAGUAGUGGUCACGUUGAGCGUUGGGCAAGACCUAGAGCUGUGCUGACUUCAGUUCUGAUUCAGCAGUGUCCCAGGGGAGGUGGCUACAAAGGUGCUUGUGUUAUGUCAUCCCCAGCUCCAGGAAGCUCAGCAUACAAAGAGAAACUCCAUUGGUUUUGGAGAAAGUAAGGAAAGAGAACAAGAGUCUCUGCCUGGUAAUCCAGAUAAUUCUUCCAGAUCUUAUCCAAGACCACUUAAGUGGUACUUCUGUGAGUCUACAAGGACCACAGUAUUGCUGGGCUUGGGGUGCCACUUAAUGCAUAUACAGUUUAGAUCACAACACCCAAGUCCUUCUGAAUACUUAAGAAGCCUUCCCAAGGAGAAAGGGUACAAAGAAGCCCAGAUGGCGAUGACUAUAAUAAGUACCUAACUCUUCAAUGCUCAGACACCAAAGAACUUCCGCAAGCAUCAAGAACAUUCAGGGAAUAUGAUCUAACCAAAUAGAGUAAAUAAGGCACAAGGAACCAAUCCUGGAGAAACAGAGACACGUGACAUUUCAGACAGAGUAUUAUUAUGAAAAUAGCUGUCUUGAAGAAACUCAAAGAAAUUCAAGAUAACACUGAGAAGGAAUUCAGAAUCCUAUCAGGUAAAUUUAACAAAGACAUUAAAGUAAUUAAAAGGAAUCAAGCAGAAAUUCUGGAGCUGAAAAAUGCAAUUGACAUAUUGAAGAAUGCAUCAGAGUCUUUUAAUAGCAGACUCAAUCAAGCAGGAGAAAGUAUUAGUGAGCUUGAAGACAGGCUAUUUGAAAUACACAGUCAGAGGAGACAAAAGAAAAAAAGAAUAAAAAUAAAGCAUGCCUUCAGGAUCUAGAAAAUGCAUCAAAAGGGAAAAAUCUAAGUUAUUGGCCUUAAGUGGGAGGCAGAGGAAGGGAUGGAGUAGAAAGUUUAUUCAACAGGAUAAUAACAGAGAAGCCCAAACCUAGAGAAAGCUAUAUAUAUAUAUAUAUAUUCAAGGACAAGAAGGUUAUAGAAUACUAAUGUGAUUUAACCAAAAGAAGACUACCUCAAAGCAUUUAAUAAUCAAACUUCCAAAGGUCAAGGACAAAGAAAGGAUUCUGAAAGUAGCAAGAUAAAAAACAAUUAACAUACAAUGGAGCUCCAAUAUGUCUGGCAGCAGACAUUUCUGUGGAAACCUUAAGGUCAGGAGAGAGUGGCAUGACAUAGUUAAAGUGCUAAAAGAAAAAAAAAGCUUAUACCACAGAAUGGUACAUCCAGGGUAUAUAUUCUUCAAACAUGAAGGAGAGAUAAAGACUCAGACAAACAAAAGCUGAGGGAUUUCAUCAACACCAGGCCUGUCCUCCGAGAGAUGCUAAAAGGAAUAUAUUAAUCACAAGAAAAAUAGAUGUAAAUGAGCAAAAAGAAAUCAUCUGAAGGUACAAAACUCACUGGUAAUAGUAAGUACACUGAAAAACACAGAAUAUAAAAACACUGUAGCUGUGUUGUGUAAAGUAUCCUUGCCUUAAGUAGAAAGAAUAAAACAGGAACCAAUCAAAAAUAAUAACUACAACUUUUCAAGACAUAGAUUGUACGAUAAGAUAUAAAUAGAAACAACAAAAAGUUAGAAAGUGGGAGAGGAAGUUUAAGUGUAGAGUUUUUAUCAGUUUUCUUUUUGCUUAUUAGUUUGUUUACAUAUGCAAGCAGUGUUAAGUUGUUAUCAACUGAAAAUGUGUUAUAUUAUUUGCAAGCCUCUUGGUAACGUGAAAUCAAAAAACAUAUAAUGUACACAUGAAAAAGAAAAAGCCAGACAUUAAAUCACACACCUGAGAAAAUCACUUUUACUAAAAGGAAGACAGGAAAGAGGAAAAGAAGGAAGAACAGACCACAAAACCACCAGAAAAUAAAUAACAAGAUAGUAGGAGUAAGUCCUUACUUAUCAAUAAUAACAUUGAUUAUAAAUUGACUAAACUUACAAAUUAAAAAAUAGAGUGACUGAAUGAAUAAAAAACCAAGAUCCAAUAAUCUGUUGCCUAGAAGAAACACAUUGCACCUAUAAAGACAUACAAAAACUGAAAAUGAAGGGAUGGAAAGAUAUAUUUCAUGCAAAUGAAAAUCAAAAAAGAAUAGGAGUAGGUAUAGUUACAUCAGACAAAAUAGGUUUCAAGACGAAACUAUAAGAAGAGACAAAGUAGGUCACUAUGUAUGAAUAAGGGGUCAAUUCACCAGGAGGAUAUAAACAUUAUAAAAAUAUAUGCACCCAACAACUGGAGCACUUAGACAUCUAAUGCAAAUAUUAUUAGAGCUAAAGCAAGAGAUGGACCACAAUACAAUAAUAGCUGCAGACUCCAUUACUCCACUUUCAGCACUGGACAGAUUUUAGACAGAAAAUUUAAAAAAAUCAGACUUAUCUACACUAUAGAUCAAAUAAACCUAGUUAGAUAUUUAAAGACCAUUUCAUCCAAGAGCCGCAGAACACACAUUCUUUUCCUUAGUACAUGAGUCAUUCUCAAUAAUAAGCCAUAUGUUAUGUCACAAAACAAGUCCUAAAACAUUCAAAAAAUUGAAAUACUGUCAAGUAUCUUCUCUGAACACGAUGGAAUAAAACUAGAAAUCAAUAACAAAUGAAUUUUGGAGAAUAUAAAAACACAUGGAAAUUAAACAAUAUGCUCCUGAAUGACCAGUGGGUCAAAGAAGAAAUUAAGGAAGAAAUUGAAAAAUUUAUUGAAAGAAAUGAUAAUGGAAACACAACAUACCAAGACCUAUGGGAUAUAGCAAAAGGAGUACUAAGAUAGAAGUUUAUAGCUAUGAGUGCCUAUAUCAAAAAACAAGAACAAUUUUAAAUAAAAAAUUUAAUAACGUAAAUUUAAUAACAACUUAAAAUACUAGACCAUCAAGAACAAAUCAAACAGAAAUUAGUAGAAGAAAAAAAAUUCAGAAUAGAGAUACAUAAAUUUAAAUGAAGAAAACAAUACCAAAUAUCAAUGAAACAAAAAGAUGCUUUUUGAGAAGAUAAACAAAUUGACAAACUUUUAGCCAGACUAAGAAAAAAAAAGAUCCAAAUAAAUAUAUUCAGAGAUGAAAGAGGAGACAUUACAACCAAUACAAUAGAAAUUCAAAGAAUCCUUAGUAGCUACUAUGAGCAACUAUAUGCUAAUUAAUUGGAAAAUCUGGAAGAAAUAAAUUCCUAGACACAUACAACUUAUCAAGAUUGGACCAUGAAGAAAUCUAAACCUGACUAGACAAAUAAUAACAAGAUUGAAUCCGUAAUAAGUCUUCUAGUAAAGAAAAGUCAGGCAGGAAUCCAACUGUUUUACACUGAAUUCUACCAAAAUUUAAAGAAGAAUUAGUACCCCAUCCUAUUCAAAGGAUUCUGAAAAAUAGAGGAGGAGGGAAUACUUCUAUUCUCAUACUAUGAGGCCAGUGUUACUCUGAUACCAACCUGAGACAGAGACAUCAAAAAAGAAACCACAGGCCAAUAUUAUUGGUUACUAUUAAUGCAAAAAUCCUCAACAGUAUAUUAUUAAGACAAAUUCAACAACACAUGAAAAAGAUCAUUCAUCACGACCAAGUAAUAUUGAUCCCAGAGAUGCAAAGAUAGUUCUACAUAUGCAAGUCACUCAGUGUGAUGCAUCAUGUCAAAGAAUGAAGGGAAAAAAUAUAGGAUCAUUGCAACUUACACUGAAAAGGCAUUUGAUAAAAUUCAACAUUUUUUCAUGAUGAAAACACUCCAAAAUCUUGGUAUAACAGGAAAUACCUCAACAUAAUAGAAAGCAUAUCUGACAGACACACAGUUGUCAUAAUAUCAUAUUGAAUGGGGAGUAUCUGAAAGCCUUUCCUCUAAGAUCUGAAACGGGAUGCCCACUUUCAACAUUAUUAUUUAAUGUGUUACUGGAAGUCCUAGCUAGAGCACUCAGACAAUAGAAAGAAAUAAAGGACAUCCAAAUUGGAAAGGAAGAAGUCAAAUUUUCCUUCCUUGUUUACAGAUGAUAUAUUCUUAUAUUUGGGAAAAUCUAAAGACACCACCAAAAUCUAUUAGAACUGAUAAACUAAUUCAGUAAAGUUGCAGAAUAAAAAAUCAACAUACAAAAAUCAGUAGUACUUCCAUAUGCUAACAGUGAACAAUCUGAAAAAGAAAUCAAGAAAGUAAUCCCAUUUGUAAUAGCUGUAAAUAAAAUAAAAUAAAAUAAAAUACCUAGGAAUUAACCAAAGAAGUGAAAGAUCUCUAUAAUGAAAGCUAUAAAAAAUUGUUGCAAGAAAGUGAAGAUGCUACAAGAAAAUGCAAAGAUAUUCCAUGCUCAUGGGAUUGGAAGAAUCAAUAUUUUUUAAAUGUCCAUACUAUUUAGAGUAAUGUACAGAUUCAAUGCAAUCCCUAUCAAAAUGACUAUGAUACCAAUGACAUUCUUCACAGAAUUAGAAAAAGCAAUUUUAAAAUUUAUAUGGAACCAUGAAAGAUCCAGAGUAGUCAAAGCUAUCCUAAGCAAAAAGACCAAAACUGUAGGUAUCACAUUUACCCUGAUGGUAUUACUAUGCACUAUAUGACUAUAUCAAAAUAUGUCAACAUAUACUCCUCUGUGUACCUACAAAAUUUUUAAAAACCAACUUUGUCGCUAGGAACUAGACCACAAAGGACAAACACACACACAGGAAAGAGAUCAAACAUAGCAUAAGAAAUUAGAGAAAGUAAGAAAAAGAAUGAGAAGAAAAUAAAGAGGAAAAUGAAAAAAAAAGCUUUCUAAAAAUGAGGCCGCAAAUGAAAUUCCUAAACAUAAGUAGGUACGUAAAGAUAUCUAAAGCUAAGACAAUGAAAAAAUCAACAAUAAGAAAAUAAAUUUCAUCCAGAUGACAUUGUUUUUAGAGUAGUCUGACAAAGAUUAACAUAUAUUUGGAUUAAGCUAGAGAACUGAACACAAACAUGUAUUUUAGGUCAAUAGUGAAUUUACAAGUAAGUUACAGUAAAUUGAAUUUUUAAGGUAUAAAAUCACAAAGAACAGAAUUCCAAAGACAACAAAAUUUUGCCUUUAGAACAUUAUCUUCAGCUGCUUCUUUCUGCUCCAGAUAUGGCAAAAAAAAGUUAAUGAAACGAUCUUACAGGCUCGAGAAAUCACUAGCAGUGAUGGAAAUGCACUUUCUAGAAAGUCAAUGAAAUAUACAAGACCAAUUCUCUAAUCUCUUCUUUGCUGAACUGCAUAGAACAAGGCUCAUUCAAGCUAAUAUGGCAUAAAAAAAUCCCCAUAAAUAAAACAUAGUUUAAAUAUAUUCCUGCUGGAAUAAAGUCUUCUAACUAAAAUCAUCAUCUUUUUAAUCCUAUCUAAUAUGUGUUUAUAAUCUCCCACAACUAUUGCUGAAUUGGAAUACCAAAUAAUUAAUCAAAGCUACAAUGGGAAUUUCAGUGUUUUGUACAUUUUUUCAUUUAAUAUUGUUUCAUAGUAAACUGACCAAUGGUACCUUUUUCCCAUAUUUCUGUCUUCAUACUAUAACAAAAUAUCACUCCUGUAAGAAAAAUUCUGCACAUGUAUGAUUACUCUUUUUUUCUCUAUGAAAUGAUAAUUUCUUCAUCCUUGAUUAUGCCAUCUGAAUUAUUCUGACAGAAGUGCCACCUUCAUAAUCAUUUAGCUUUAGAGCCAUUUUUAAAAAUCAGAAUUAUAUUUAUCAGAAGUUAUAAUGAUUGCAGGGUAUAUUUUCUAUCUUUGUAACAGAGCUGCUGGCUUUAUGUAUACUUUGCUGCUGGGUAAGUCCUCUUUUCUCCAAAAUUAUAAAUACAAGAUGUUGAAAGCGUUUUUCAAAUACACACACACACACACACACACACACACACACAUAUACACACAUAUGUGUGUGUAUUGUGUAUGUAUACAUAUAUAUUUAAUAAGCUUAUAAUCACUCAAAAACACAUCAGUGUCAGGGUGACAGAUGCUUUGACAGUAAGCCAACAUGGAAAGACAGAAAGAGCAGAAUAAAAAAAUUUAAAAAAAUGUAUCAAUGUAUCUGUCGAAGGAACUGGAGGACAUGAACCAGUUACCUAAAACAAUCAGCUCUGACAAUUUUUGAAGUCUACGUUAUUCAUAUCUUCAAGUAUAUUCUGCAUUUGUUCCCAGAGAUUGUGACUAGCAUUACAAUAUGAGAUACAGACUAAAAGACAGUAAUGAAACUCUUGAAUGUAAAUAUAUGCAUCAAAUUAUAAUAAAAUUUAUCCUGUAAACUUGUUUUGAGGAAGUUCAUGUAAUGUUCCUUGCAAAAUUGUGCACCCUCCUGGGUUAAUGUUUAUACCUUCUUAAAGUCCCGAAAGGAUGAAAUAAUGAUACCAAACAGCCAAUAUUUAAUGAUACAUGUCUGUAGCUGGGUUUUCAAUGUCCAUGGAAAAAUGCUUAGUAUAAUUCAGAUAAAAUAUUCAAGACAAGUGUGUAGUCUAUUAAAUAAUCAGUGGAAAAAUCUUACCCGGAAAAAGGCAAACGUGAGUGGAAUAAAGAUCUCAAGCUAUAGAACAUUGUUUACAAAUGCAGAUAGAUCCACAAACAAAUUUUGCCAUGUUCAAAGUCAGAUUCAGGGAAGUGAAUAUAAGCGAACAUAUUUAAAGAAGAAAGUAUACCUUCAAAAUCAAUCUCAUUGAUGGAUUUACUAGUAAUGAAAAGCAUAUUUGAAUACUAAUAUCAACAUUUUAAAAUAUUAAUUUCUGAAUUUAGAAGUUUUAGAGUUUUCUUUUUGGAUUAAGAAAUUCAUCUGUUCACUCAGAUUAAUAAUCAGCUUUUCAGGCUGUUUCCCCCUAAGGCUGAAAUAUAAAAUUAAUCACUUCCUCUUUGCCAUCAACAUUAUGUAAUGUUCAUAUUUUAGUAUAAUCCAUACCACAUUCUAAUUCAAUGAUUUGUUUCUACUAUUUUUUCUCUUCAUAUGCCUGUGAGCUAACUCUGCCAGCCUGUUUUGAUUAACUUUGUAUCCUUAGUAAUAUAGACUGAUGUAUUAGAGAGUCAAAUGUUUAAAUUCCUGAACAAAUCAUGUCAAAAAAGAAAUAACAUUCUCAGUGUGUUUUCCAUAACUGGCACAUUGGUAAAAUAAUUCUAGCAUCUGGCACUCAUCUUUUUUUUAGGAUUAGCUGGAUUUUAAAAAUGCACACAUUAUAUCAAUUAAUUUGAGGUUAUAUGUCCAAGACAUAACUAUUGCCUCUAAAUCAGCAGAAUUAACAAGUGGAAUUUUCUUUCAGUUAAGUUUAGAAAAAAAUAACAUCAAAACAAAAACAAACUCAACCUGGGUCUAUGAGCACUUUUGGAUGCAAAAAUGGAAUAUAUAAUUUAAGUUUUUCCUGAAUUUUCCUUUGAUAAUGAUAUUUUAAAAAAUCUAUUGUACUUGUGUAUAUAAGGUUGUUAUUAUGGUCUAAUUAUGAUAUGUAUCUCUGUUUUAUAAAAGAGAGCAAAUACAAUAUGUUAAGAAAAAGGAAAUGUGAUAUAGCAGGUGGAUUGUGGUGUUUGGGAACAGAUAAUCAGAAUCUCCUAUAUGAUUUGGGUAAAUUGCUUAAGGUUGAUUAUAUUUCAUAUCCUCAUUUUAAGAAGUAGAUUUAACAGUAAAAAGAAUUAUGAGGGUUGAACAAAAAUAUAUAUAAAUUGGUAACUGGAAGGUAAACCUUCUAUUUGUAUUUUUCUAUUCUACAUAAAGCUUUAGUUUGGUAUGUUAACAAACUAAUGAAGUCUAUGUGUUACUUGGCCAUCUUAAACAAAUAUAUGUAUAUCUAUGUAUUGGUGUGGCACCUGUUUUUCUGGAUCCCUCUUAAACGUUCAGCUAAGAAAGCCAAGGUCAAAUUAGAGGGCUGAAAUAAAAUCAACUGAUGGCAAAACACACAAGAUGGGAAUGGUGUGGAGAGCUGCUAUUGGCAUUCUAGUUCCUAUUUCUUCUGUUAAAUGAGGACUAUAAUUUUGAAAAAUAAUAAAACACUUCUGUAUAUGCA